GCCUACGGGGAGCAGCAGUGAGGAAUAUUGGUCAAUGGUCGGGAGACUGAACCAGCCAAGCCGCGUGAGGGAGGAAGGUACAGAGUAUCGUAAACCUCUUUUGUCAGGGAACAAAGGCGGGGACGUGUCCCCGGAUGAGUGUACCUGAAGAAAAAGCAUCGGCUAAAUCCGGGCCAGCAGCCGCGGUAAUACGGAGGAUGCGAGCGUUAUCCGGAUUUAUUGGGUUUAAAGGGUGCGCAGGCGGUCUGUUAAGUCAGCGGUCAAAGCCCGGGGCUCAACCCCGGCCCGCCGUUGAAACUGGCAGU
RNAcentral lists this ribosomal RNA (305 nucleotides) under uncultured bacterium. RNAcentral describes it as "bacterial SSU rRNA". It matches the Rfam family "Bacterial small subunit ribosomal RNA", at positions 337 to 640 of the family's 1533-position model. The record is from RNAcentral.